RNAcentral lists this ribosomal RNA (253 nucleotides) under uncultured bacterium. Its description in RNAcentral is "partial 16S ribosomal RNA". It matches the Rfam family "Bacterial small subunit ribosomal RNA", at positions 524 to 776 of the family's 1533-position model. The record is from RNAcentral.
UACAGAGGGGGCAAGCGGUGUUCGGAAUUACUGGGAGUAAAGGGCGCGUAGGCGGCCUUCUAAGUCGAACGUGAAAUCCCCGGGCUCAACCCGGGAACUGCGUCCGAUACUGGAAGGCUUGAAUCCGGGAGAGGGAUGCGGAAUUCCAGGUGUAGCGGUGAAAUGCGUAGAUAUCUGGAGGAACACCGGUGGCGAAGGCGGCAUCCUGGACCGGUAUUGACGCUGAGGCGCGAAAGCCAGGGGAGCAAACGGG